CCCGCUGAACUUAAGCAUAUCAAUAAGCGGAGGAAAAGAAACUAACAAGGAUUCCCCUAGUAACUGCGAGUGAAGCGGGAAAAGCUCAAAUUUAAAAUCUGGCAGUCUUUGGCUGUCCGAGUUGUAAUCUAUAGAAGUGUUAUCCGCGCUGGACCAUGUACAAGUCUCCUGGAAUGGAGCGUCAUAGAGGGUGAGAAUCCCGUCUUUGACAUGGACUACCAGGGCUUUUGUGAUGCGCUCUCAAAGAGUCGAGUUGUUUGGGAAUGCAGCUCAAAAUGGGUGGUAAAUUCCAUCUAAAGCUAAAUAUUGGCGAGAGACCGAUAGCGAACAAGUACCGUGAGGGAAAGAUGAAAAGAACUUUGGAAAGAGAGUUAAACAGUACGUGAAAUUGCUGAAAGGGAAACGCUUGAAGUCAGUCGCGUUGUCCGGGGAUCAACCUUGCUUCUGCUGGGCGUACUUCCCGGUUGACGGGUCAGCAUCAAUUUUGACCGUUGGAUAAAGUCUAGGGGAAUGUGGCAUCUUCGGAUGUGUUAUAGCCCUUGGUCGCAUACAACGGUUGGGAUUGAGGAACUCAGCACGCCGCAAGGCCGGGUAUUCGUACCACGUUCGUGCUUAGGAUGCUGGCAUAAUGGCUUUAAUCGACCCGUCUUGAAACACGG
RNAcentral lists this ribosomal RNA (659 nucleotides) under uncultured fungus. RNAcentral's name for it is "eukaryotic LSU rRNA". It matches the Rfam family "Eukaryotic large subunit ribosomal RNA", at positions 24 to 664 of the family's 3401-position model. Lineage: Eukaryota; Fungi. The record is from RNAcentral.